RNAcentral lists this ribosomal RNA (253 nucleotides) under uncultured bacterium. RNAcentral's name for it is "partial 16S ribosomal RNA". It matches the Rfam family "Bacterial small subunit ribosomal RNA", at positions 524 to 776 of the family's 1533-position model. The record is from RNAcentral.
UACGUAGGGGGCAAGCGUUGUCCGGAAUCAUUGGGCGUAAAGAGCGUGUAGGCGGCUUGGCAAGUCUGGUGUGAAAUCUUGCGGCUCAACCGCAAGCGGUCACUGGAAACUGCCUCGCUAGAGUCCGGAAGAGGAGAGUGGAAUUCCUGGUGUAGCGGUGAAAUGCGCAGAUAUCAGGAAGAACACCAAUGGCGAAAGCAGCUCUCUGGGACGGUACUGACGCUGAGACGCGAAAGCGUGGGGAGCGAACAGG